Molecule: non-coding RNA, 111 nt
Filed under: Saprospira grandis
Lineage: Bacteria; Pseudomonadati; Bacteroidota; Saprospiria; Saprospirales; Saprospiraceae
Also listed under: 1 other name
Description: SAM-I sequence
Rfam family: SAM riboswitch aptamer (S box leader)
About the family: The SAM riboswitch is found upstream of a number of genes which code for proteins involved in methionine or cysteine biosynthesis in Gram-positive bacteria. The SAM riboswitch acts at the level of transcription termination control. The predicted structure consists of a complex stem-loop region followed by a single stem loop terminator region.
Source: RNAcentral
UACUUAUCCAGAAAGGUGGAGGGAUUAGGCCCAAAGAAACCUUAGCAACCUGCUCUUAGAGGCAAGGUGCUACUUCCUACUGAAGCCGAAAGGCGGAGGGGCAGAUAAGCG